This 230-nucleotide ribosomal RNA is filed under the name uncultured bacterium. RNAcentral describes it as "partial 16S ribosomal RNA". It matches the Rfam family "Bacterial small subunit ribosomal RNA", at positions 15 to 228 of the family's 1533-position model. The record is from RNAcentral.
GAUCCUGGCUCAGGACGAACGCUGGCGGCGUGCUUAACACAUGCAAGUCUAACGAGAAUCUGCGGAAAGAGGAUUCGUCCAAUUGAAGCAGAGGACAGUGGCGGACGGGUGAGUAACGCGUGAGGAACCUGCCUUUCAGAGGGGGACAACAGUUGGAAACGACUGCUAAUACCGCAUGACACAUCGGAGUCGCAUGGCUCUGAUGUCAAAGAUUUAUCGCUGAAAGAUGG